UACGGGGGGGGCAAGCGUUGUUCGGAAUUACUGGGCGUAAAGGGCUCGUAGGUGGCCAACUAAGUCAACCGUGAAAUCCCUCGGCUUAACCGGGGAACUGCAUUUGAUACUGGAUGGCUUGAGUUUGGGAGAGGGAUGCGGAAUUCCAGGUGUAGCGGUGAAAUGCGUAGAUAUCUGGAGGAACACCGGUGGCGAAGGCGGCAUCCUGGACCAAUACUGACGCUGAGGAGCGAAAGCUAGGGGAGCAAACGGG
This 253-nucleotide ribosomal RNA is filed under the name uncultured bacterium. RNAcentral's name for it is "partial 16S ribosomal RNA". It matches the Rfam family "Bacterial small subunit ribosomal RNA", at positions 524 to 776 of the family's 1533-position model. The record is from RNAcentral.